Molecule: long non-coding RNA, 1011 nt
Organism: Cyprinus carpio (common carp)
Lineage: Eukaryota; Metazoa; Chordata; Actinopteri; Cypriniformes; Cyprinidae
Source: Ensembl
AUGGAGGACAAAUGGAACAUGUGGCGACUUUCGCUUAAGGAUUUAAGUAAUCUCCACAUUCCGAGAUGCUACACAAACAUAUCACCUUCUACAGCAAUGCAAAGGGAGCUAUUUGUCUUCUCUGAUGCAUCAACAAAAGCAAUUGCUGCAGUAGCUUACAUUAGACUGACAGAUUCAUGUGGAGUCAAUCAUGUCGGCUUCAUCAUGGGUAAAGCAAAACUCAGUCCCGAGCAAACAGUUCCCCGUCUUGAGUUGUCUGCUGCAGUUUUGGCAGUAGAAUUGGCCGAGUUCAUUGCUUCAGAAAUUGACAUGAACUUGGAUAAAACUACUUACUUUACUUAUAGUAAGGUAGUGCUAGGCUAUAUACAAAAUGAAACACGACGCUUCUAUGUAUAUGUCAGCAAUCGAGUCCUUCGGAUUCGUAAGUCUUCUCAUUCAAAUCAGUGGAAGUAUGUGCACACAGCUGAGAACCCAGCAGACAUUGCAACAAGGUCUGUCACUGCUGCUCAUCUCCAAGACACCAACUGGCUUUAUGGACCAAAGUUUCUUCUAAACAACCCUCAGACUCUACAUGAAGAGAACACAUAUGAGCUUGUCAAUCCUUCUUCAGAUGCAGAGGUAUGUCCUGAAGUCUCCACAUUGAGCACUACAUUAAUGAGUAAAAAUCUUGGAACACAAUGCUUCUCUAAGUUCUCCACUUGGAAGUCCAGCACUCGUGCCAUUGCACAUCUUCUUCAUAUAUCUCGACAGUUCCUUACAGGUUUUACAACAAAAACAUCAAGUUGCAAGGGCUGGCAUUACUGUUCCAAUGCUCCAACAGUUGAAGAACUUCUAUGUGCUGAAAAAAUGAUCAUCAAAGCAGUACAACAGGAGACAUAUGCCCAAGAGUAUAAGAGCUUGGAAAUAGGAAAUAAGCUCUCCAGGAAAAGCCCUCUCAAAGUAUCCACUGAUCCUCCAUUUACAAAUGUUGGACUAGAUGUUUUCGCCCCAUGGACCGUGGUGGCACGAUGA